Molecule: unclassified non-coding RNA, 264 nt
Filed under: plant metagenome
Description: partial contains small subunit ribosomal RNA, internal transcribed spacer 1, and 5.8S ribosomal RNA
Source: RNAcentral
UUUCCGUAGGUGAACCUGCGGAAGGAUCAUUAUUGUAUAACCGAGGUGCGAGGGCUGUCGCUGACCCGACAGGUCGUGCACGCCCGAGUGCCCUCACCCACAUCCAUCUCACCCCGAUGUGCACCACCGCCUGGGUCCCCCUUUGGCUUGUUCGGAGGGGGGCUUACGUUUUCACACAAACUUUGUAUGCCGUGUGGAAUGUAUUUUUUGUUUUUUGCGAUCACGCGAUCAAUACAACUUUCAACAACGGAUCUCUUGGCUCUC